GGGGAAUGACUAGAGCAGGAGGGGAGGAGGGAGGACAGUUUCCUUUCUGUAACACACGCCACAGGAACACACCGCGGGGAGAGAGAGAAAAAAAACGGAGAGAGAGGGAAGAAAAUCAUCAAGAGUGGGAGAAGGAAACACCGCAGCCCCUCCGCGCGUCCCUCUGUCUGUCCGUGCGUCCGCGCGUCCUUUGGUUGGUUGCUUUUAUUUUUUAGAGAGAAAGAAAGCGCUUUUCUCUUUUUGUCCUCCUCUGAACGCAGACUUGCGGACUAACAUGAGGAGGGUUGACUUUCUGUGAGCCUCUCCGUGUCUGAUAGGGAGGGAAAAGGCGACAGGGAGGACAUGUUGAGGUUGCGGUAGGAGGUUGAUUUAGCGCUCCUGAAACAUUCGGACCUUAGAGAGAGGGGAAAAACGCGCAAACGGAAAGUGAGCGGCAGGCUGAGCUAAGGAGCCAUCGCUAAUAUCGGUGUUUGUUUCAUUGUUUUUGUUAUUAUCUGAAAUAGCGCAGGCCUCUCAGGCAGCCCUGCAGUAAAUAAAUACAGGAGCCACUUAGCUUCUAAUAAGCCUGCGUGAGUUUUUUUUAUUUACGGUAAAAGGAAAGUGGUGUUUAUGGGCUGUUUGUUUACUAGACGAAUAUUCUUCUCACAAACUUGGCAUUUUGCGACCUUUUAAUCCGACUGGCUCUAGAGGUGUAAGGGGGUUGUUACUGUAGGCGAUCUUAGCCCCAGUUUAGCUGAGCAAUAAGAGAUAAGAAGAGUUAUAAAUGUUAAUGUCGACCGACGUUGCAUCCAUCAUGCUGCCUGUGUCCCGGGCCCUCCUAGACCGGGAUAGGGAGCUGGAAUCCAUGGCCGGAGUGCACCCGAACCCGUGCAGCGCUCCUGCAGCUGUACGGGGCAUGAAGCGCGGAGACCCGGAGCCCGACGGACAGACGGCGGCCGCUCUUAUGGACUCCACCGGGGCAGAGUGCAAGCGUCCCCGCAUCGACGGCUCUGGAGGAAUCGGUGAGGUCGGACAGAACAACGACCCCUUGACCCUCGGUUACCAUGGAUACGCAUCUCACAGCCAGGGUUCUCAGGAUAGUGCUGGUGGUCAGGAGGGACUCGUGCCCCCACCUUUCUCCGCUUUCCCACCUCCUCCUCCUCCACCCCCCCAGAACGGCCUGACCCUGGACUACGGGGGCAGCCUGUAUGCAGCAGGGGCCGUGCAGGGCCCCGUGGAAGCCGGCGGCUCGGGGAAUGGUGCAGGCAACACCGCCAACAGCCUCGGUGCCCAGUCGGACGGGUCCUCCCAGAUCGACGGUCAGUGUGGAGUGGGCUCAGGUGGAGGGGGUGGGGGUGGGGGCCCUGGGGACGAUCCAGACUCCAAGGGGACGCCGAAACGUCUCCAUGUGUCCAACAUCCCCUUCCGCUUCCGAGACCCUGAUCUACGGCAGAUGUUCGGGCAAUUUGGCAAAAUCCUUGACGUGGAGAUCAUUUUCAACGAGAGGGGCUCCAAGGGCUUUGGUUUUGUAACAUUUGAGGCGAGUUCAGAUGCAGAGAGAGCCAGAGAGAAGCUUCAUGGCACGCUGGUGGAGGGUCGUAAAAUCGAGGUCAAUAACGCCACAGCCAGAGUGAUGACAAACAAGAAGAUAACCACACCGUUCUCCAAUGGCGAGGGCAUCGCAGCACUACCAUAUGCUGGUUGGAAGUUGAGCCCGAUGGUUGGAGCCAUGUAUAGCCCAGAACUCUACACCGUUCCAGGGUUCCCUUACCCAGCAGCAGCAGCUGCGGCCGCCGCCACCACCGCCGCAGCAGCCACCUUUCGGGGCACUCACCUUCGGGGUCGAGCUCGGCCCGUCUACAGCGCGGUUAGAGCAGCUGUCCCGCAACCGGCCAUCCCCGCGUACCCCGGUGUGAUGGCCUAUCAGGAUGGUUUUUACAGUGCAGCCGACCUCUACACUAGUGUUUCAGGACAUUAGUGGCAGAUUGCCCCAGGGUGGCUAUGCAGCGUAUCGUUACGCCCAGCCGGCUGCUGUAGCGACUCCUGCAGCAGCAGCCGCCGCUGCAGCGGCAGCUUACAGCGACAGCUAUGGACGAGUUUACACAGCGGACCCUUACCAUGCUGCACUUGCCCCAGCUGCUUACGGCGUUGGAGCCAUGGCCACGCUGUACAGGGGAGGCUACAGUAGAUUUGCCCCUUACUAAAGACACUAUAUUUCCCAGGAGCUCCUCCUUCCCACUGACAUACUCUGAAAGAGCUCCCCCUGUUGUCCUGGAGGUGGACUGCACCCCGUUUGAAAAGCGUGGCGUCGACCACAACAAAGAUAUUAUAGAUCCCCCAGAACAGUCCCACAUUUUCUUAUAUACACGUCUACGGAAAUAGAGGAAUGCUGUAUUAAAGACUGAAGGAUGGCCUUUACUUUCAAAGACAAAAAAAAAAAAAAAGAAGGAAAAAAAAGUAUCUGAAUGAACACGGCCACCUUCCCCAUUGCACGGCUGUAUUAUAGUCUCCCCCUCUUAUUCCCUCAACUCAGCAGCACAAUAUUUGGGGGCGGAGCCCAGAUGUUCUUCCAAAGGCUGGAUAUUUGAACAGCUGUCACUCAUGCAGGAGGAAAAGCACAGUCUGGCCUGCACACACUCUGGAUUAGAACAGGAGGGAGGCAAAGGAACGAGGCGUCAACCGAACAUCAGAGUGGUAGAGAGGUGAGGUGCCUUGAGAGAGGUAGAGAACGAGAAAGGCCCUGAAAACCUUUUGAAACCAGAAGGAUGUUGAAGUAGCACCGCGGGGGGGGUUCAGGAAUCGUCCUGAACACGCUGCUUUGAGGUAGACUGGCAGCUUGGAGAGAUGAUGGGGAGCUGAAGGAGGGAGGGUUUAGUUAGAGCUGUUCCUUACCUCAAGUUUUCUUAGUAUGUGGAAACGGUAAACCUUUAAAAAUGUUAUGAUAUGCAAAGAAAUUAGUCUAGAGGAAAAAAAACGAUUUACCAAAUUAUUGUUAUUAUUAUUAUUAUUAUUAUUGCUGUUGUGAUUAUUCUCAUAAAUACUCAGUAAAUCAUUACUUUGUUUUACACAGCGACAGAGCAGUUGGUGAAUUUUAGGGGGUUGAAAUCAGAAAACACUCCACCUUCACCUACAGCAUGUAUAAAACACACACACACGGUUUCACGAGACAUCAGACACUACAGGAGGUGAAACACUACGCUGCAGACAUUUCUAUUUUUGUUUACAUGUGAAAGAGCCCCCCUGCCUGCAGCGCCUAGGCCUCUGAUGGUCCUUUAACGUAGAGACAGAUAUUAUUUAGAUUUGUUUUCCCUUCAUGCUUCACCUUUUUAUAGAGUCCAGUAAUGGAUGAGUCUUCCUGAAACACACCUUAGUUGGCAGUUGCGCUAAAGAUGCUGCCAACGGCGAUUACUGAGCAAGACAGAGAUCCAGCCAGCCGGUUCUUAGUGAUAUUUAAAUGCAAAACACAUGACUAUUGUGCAUAUUUCUAUACUAUUGUAUUCUAUAUUUCCAAAACGUGGCUUUUUUUUGGCGUUUGUUUUUGUUCCAAAGAUUUGUAGAAAGCACAUUUUCUGCCAUAUAUAUCUAUAAAUAUAAAUAUAUUGUGUGUGUUAUUAUCAUAUAGCUGUCUUUAUUUACGUUUUUCCAUUGUCUGAUUUUUUUAAUGUAUCUAUAUAUCUAUAAAUAAAUAAAUAUAUAUAUGUAUGUAUGUGUGUUGUUACUUCUCAAGUAAGGUUCAAAUUUUAAUUUUGAUUUAGUUUUUGAUUGAAAUUUCUGAGCUGAUUUUAGCAUUUUAGAGGAAAUGACACCAAAAUGAUUUUGUUUCCCAGAAAUGUUUAGUUGGUUUGGGUUGUUAUUUUUCUUUUGUUUUGAUUAUAUAAUUCUGUUUUUUGCUGUUGUUUUGUUGCUGUUUUUGAUUGAGCAUAGGAUCUGCCGGCAUGACAUUUUAUUCUAUUUCACAAAAUAUGAAAACAGCUGGAUUUCUUUUAUUUUAUUAUUAUAUUUGGGUGUGUGUGAGUGUGUGUGUCCACGGUUUGCAGGUGAGAUGAUGAUGAUUGAUAAAAGGUUUGUGGCGCUGAUUAAAAAGCCACGGUGUUCCGUUCUUUUCUUAUUUUGAGUUCUUAUUGUUGUUCUUAAAGCAGAUUCCAUACAUUUCAGUAAAUAAGCCUCACAAAUAACCAAUUUGUUUAAAAAAAAACUCCAGGUAAAAUGUCCACAAGUGUUAUGCAGGUUUGUAAUCCUGUCCUGAUGAAAAAUGUGACUGUUUCAAAAAUAUUUCGAUUUUCUGUUUGUUUGUUUGCGUACUUGGAAAAUACAUGUUUGGUUAUAAUCAUGACAUGUAACAUUUCUAUUGUUUUAUUUAGUUUUAUGAUAUUAAUGGAGAAUGUGCUCUCGACUAAAUUGAUAAAUAAAAAAGGCACAAGCCAAAGAUGUUACGUUCUUGGCAUGUUCUGAUUCCCGACCUGUGAUGAAGAGCAAGAUGAAGAGAUGACAGUGAAAAAGUAAAACAGACCUUUGCAGCCGCUGACGGCAUGGACUAACCAGCAUGAAAGAUAAUUAUCGAGUUUAAAAGAAAAAAAAAGUUUUGCAUGAAUCUAUCGUCUUUUCACCUUUGACCCGUGAGCAGCAGAGCCCGGCUGCUCUCCUUCGCCUCUAAAACUCGACGGGCAGCUUCGACAUGACAAAGACCACAGAGCUGCUGGGAAAAAAUAAAUAAAAAAUCGUGUGACAAACCAAGAUGGUGGCUGCAAAAAUAACAUUUGGCAGCUUUGUUUUCCUGUUAUGGCUUUCUUGCCCAGGCUGUAUUAUAGAGAACUAUGUGGUCACUUUUCAUAGUUGCUAUGGUUUCUCAAUGGUCAGUCCCUCUGUCCUGUCUGUUUCCCUCUGACUGCCAUUUUGUUGUUUUUGUUAUUGAAUGUCCAUUAUAAAAAAAAUGCUUUAUAUAAAAACUUUUGUUGUGAA
Non-coding RNA from Nothobranchius furzeri (turquoise killifish), 4938 nucleotides. The record is from RefSeq and is a predicted model, not a curated record. Lineage: Eukaryota; Metazoa; Chordata; Actinopteri; Cyprinodontiformes; Nothobranchiidae.